RNAcentral lists this unclassified non-coding RNA (279 nucleotides) under plant metagenome. RNAcentral's name for it is "partial contains small subunit ribosomal RNA, internal transcribed spacer 1, and 5.8S ribosomal RNA". The stretch from base 235 to 279 matches the Rfam family "5.8S ribosomal RNA", at positions 1 to 45 of the family's 154-position model. The record is from RNAcentral.
UUUCCGUAGGUGAACCUGCGGAGGGAUCAUUAUUGUAUAACAAAACUCCGAACACUGUCGAUGACCCCACACGGCUUGCACGCCCGAGGGCCCUCACACACAUCCAUCUCGCCGCUAUGUGCACCACCGCUGGGGUCCCCCUUUGGCUUCUUAGGAUGUGGGCUAACGUUUUCACACAGUCUUUUUAAGAAUUGUUGAAUGUAUUUUUUAUUUUUGCUAUCACUCCAUCAAUACAACUUUCAACAACGGAUCUCUUGGCUCUCGCAUCGAUGAAGCACG